CUGCUGUUAUUCACCAUUACAGCUUGUUAUAAUUUAUUAUGAUGGUAUUCUGUUUGAAAUCAUCCAUUUGCAACUUGCAAAGCACCACUACAUUCACCUUAAACCUGCUUUCUGUCCCAGCCAAUGGUGGCAGGGGCCGGCUAGCCUGUCCCCCCGGAGCAUUAACCCUUGUCGCGAGCUGCAGAGAGAGAGGAGCUGAGCUUUGGCCCCGAGGAGCUGUGUGCAUGGAUCUGGCACAGCUUUGCUCCUUUCACUCCUGGACCUUUGUUUUGGUGGCGAGCGGGGAGAGCAGGGAGCGCUGUGCUCGCGUUUCCCUCCGGCUUACACACACACACACACACACACACACACACACACACACACACACACACAAAUCCCCUUUCCAACUUUCUGCCUUUUGCGCUUCCCUCCCAGUUUUUCACUUCUCAGACCUACUGGCAGCAUUUGCCGAGAUCUAGAUCCCCGCCGUGCUCACUCAACGGUCUCAUACAGAGCUGGGUAAAUAUGUCAAAAACUACAUCGGAAAGUCUCAGUUCAGAUAAACCCUGCAUAUCCUCGUCAGCAGUCAUGAGGCUUUUCUGUUUGCAUACUUUCAAGAGGCAUUCAUACAUGCAGUUCCUGUGUUGUCAUUCUGGACUUGCAUAGAGGGGACUGUGGCUUUCAGCUGGAUGUUGUAGAUACAAGGCCACAUUCUGCUUUGGCAUCGCUGCUGAUGUGCUCCCUCCCACUUUCCCAGGCUAAUAAAUGAACAGGCAAACAAACCUAUACAAGCCAUGGUUACUUUCAAGGAAAUCUACUUUAGCCUGAAUGGAGUACUGUGUAGCCUGACCCUACAGAAACCAAAUUAACAUCUGGAUCUGAAGUUCAUGGCUGUCUCUUCAGAAAUACAAUACAUGAAACUGGGAUUCCAUAUCUGAGAGUGGUUGGCAGCUUGAGCGAUGAACUGAGAUUUGUUGGCUGAGGAUCAACCCAAGAAAUUCCACCAAUAUGCUACUGUGCUGUUUCCCCUGUAAACUGUUUUUUUUUUUUUAAAUUUGUGAAACAAAUGACUAUAUCAGCUGAAAAGGUAAUUAAACUAACAACCAAAAUAAAUGCUUUAAAGGCC
Long non-coding RNA from Coturnix japonica (Japanese quail), 1105 nucleotides. RefSeq lists it as uncharacterized. NCBI's taxonomy places the organism in Eukaryota, Metazoa, Chordata, Aves, Galliformes, Phasianidae. The record is from RefSeq and is a predicted model, not a curated record.